RNAcentral lists this ribosomal RNA (459 nucleotides) under uncultured bacterium. Its description in RNAcentral is "partial 16S ribosomal RNA". It matches the Rfam family "Bacterial small subunit ribosomal RNA", at positions 338 to 795 of the family's 1533-position model. The record is from RNAcentral.
CCUACGGGUGGCAGCAGUGAGGAAUAUUGGUCAAUGGCCGGAAGGCUGACCCAGCCAAGCCGCGUGAAGGACGAAGGUGCCAAGCAUUUUAAACUUCUUUUGUCAAGGGACAAAAUCAGGCUCGAGAGCCUGACCGAGGGUACUUGAAGAAAAAGCAUCGGCUAACUCGGGGCCAGCAGCCGCGGUAAUACGGAGGAUGCGAGCGUUAUCCGGAUUUAUUGGGUUGAAAGGGUGCGUAGGGGGACUGUUAAGUCACCGGUAAAAUCCCGGGGCUCAACCCCGGCGAGCCGUUGAAACUGGGUGUCUUGAGAUGUCGAGAGGUAUGCGGAAUGCGCAGUGUAGCGGUGAAAUGCUUAGAUAUUGCGCAGAACUCCGAUUGCGAAGGCAGCAUACCGGCGGCGAUCUGACGCUGAGGCACGAAAGCGUGGGUAUCGAACAGGAUUAGAUACCCUGGUAGUC